UACGUAGGGUGCAAGCGUUAAUCGGAAUUACUGGGCGUAAAGCGUGCGCAGGCGGUUAUGCAAGACAGAGGUGAAAUCCCCGGGCUCAACCUGGGAACUGCCUUUGUGACUGCAUAGCUAGAGUACGGUAGAGGGGGAUGGAAUUCCGCGUGUAGCAGUGAAAUGCGUAGAUAUGCGGAGGAACACCGAUGGCGAAGGCAAUCCCCUGGACCUGCACUGACGCUCAUGCACGAAAGCGUGGGAGCAAACAGG
RNAcentral lists this ribosomal RNA (252 nucleotides) under uncultured bacterium. Its description in RNAcentral is "partial 16S ribosomal RNA". It matches the Rfam family "Bacterial small subunit ribosomal RNA", at positions 524 to 776 of the family's 1533-position model. The record is from RNAcentral.